GUUUGAAAUUUCAAAAUGUUACUGUUUUACUGCAUCUUUGAUCAAAUAAAUAGAACCUUGAUGAACAUCAGAGACUCCUUUAGUGACACGGGAAGUUGUGGCCUAAUGGGUAGAGAGUUUGAUUCUUAACCCUAAGGUUGUGGGUUCGAGUCUCGUGCCGGCAAUACCACGACUAAGGUGCCCUUGAACAAGGGCCCCGAACCCCAAACUGCUCCCUGGGCAGGGCAGCACAGCAUAAGUGACUGCUCCGGCUGUGUGUCUGCACUUUGGAUGGGUUCAAUGCAGAGCACGAAUAUUGAGUAUGGGACACCAUACUUGGCUGUAUGUCACUUCACUUCUUUCUAAAGAGCUUAAAGAUUCCCAGCUUUCAGAUGUAUGUGUACAAAACUGAACUCAUAUCAGUGCAAAGAGCAGUCAUGAUCAGCCAAGACUGGUGUAAUGUAAUGGAUUUGAUAUGAACUGUGAAAACUUGAUUUUAAUUUCUGUGUCUAUUUCUCAGUGGAUGCAUUCCUGAAGGCAGCAAUCAGUCUUUUGCCAGAAGUCCCAUGAACCAUCAUCAUUGAGGGAUCAUCCGGAACAAGGUGUGCUGUAUCUGGUGCGAGGGGUGUUGAAUAUGAUGCAGGACUACACCUGGGAGGACAACAGUGACGCUAAGAUCAGCGUGUACAUCAGCGCUUUACCAUUACUAGCAGCAAUGAGCCAAGAAAGCUAUCUUUACACCAUUCCUAAUGGUUCGGACUCUGGAGUACAUCAAACAUCAGGCGCUGCAGGGAAUGAGCCAUCUCUCUGACAUGACAGCACAUCUCUCUCUGCAGUCCAGAGCCUGAUGCACUGAUGGAGGCUUUCCAGUCAGAAUCCCUGAGAUGGUUUGACAUUCAUACAUUUCAAGUGUUGUUCAAAUGAUUACUGAAACUAACCUAUAAGGUCCUAUUGGCUCAAACUUUUACAGUCUAGUCCCAAAUCAAGUCAUGAUAUAUUAAUAUUUCUAAAUAUUAUUUGAUUGUCUAUAAUGUCAGUUUCACUUGUUUUUGUACAGUUUGUGUACCUAACCAGGUAUUAUGUAAUAAAAUGCUUUAAAUCAUGACAUCUUGUGGAUUUUGUUCGAGGACA
This is a long non-coding RNA of Carassius auratus (goldfish), 1110 nucleotides long. RefSeq lists it as uncharacterized. The record is from RefSeq and is a predicted model, not a curated record. The transcript has 3 exons. NCBI's taxonomy places the organism in Eukaryota, Metazoa, Chordata, Actinopteri, Cypriniformes, Cyprinidae.